This is a long non-coding RNA of Scylla paramamosain (green mud crab), 492 nucleotides long. RefSeq lists it as uncharacterized. The record is from RefSeq and is a predicted model, not a curated record. NCBI's taxonomy places the organism in Eukaryota, Metazoa, Arthropoda, Malacostraca, Decapoda, Portunidae. The transcript is spliced from 2 exons.
UCCAGACUCACCUCACACACAGGGAAAGACUUGCAGCCCAUUGGUCCUUGCUUUUCUUUCCUACUGCCUCUCCAUGUAUGACAGGGGUAGCAGUCCUCAUCUCACAUUCACAGCACCUCUAGCUCAGAAAAAAAAUUGUCACGAGAGGGCAAGAUCAUGAAGAUACCCAGACUGAGUCCCAGCGGAAGUGGAGGAUGACGUCACACUACGUCACCUCGCCGGCUCGCUGGGGCUCGGGAGUAUCACAUGACGUGUAGCAGCCCUGGAAUUGGUGGCGGAACAGUUUGGGACAGAGUGGCGGGAGAACGCUGGUGAGGGAAGAAAGCCCGCGCGUCGCCGACACUGCCUCCUGUACUUGUAUGUGCCUUUGUGAGCUGGAGCGAGGCGUCAAGAAGCCUUCCGAGGGUCGACAAGAGGCCCGGGGUGCCGAGCUACAGCAUAGGACUACUGUGUAGUGUGAGCAACGGAGAAUAGAGGGCCAGAAGCCGACAA